GAUGAACGCUGGCGGCGUGCCUAAUACAUGCAAGUCGAGCGAACAGACGAGGAGCUUGCUCCUCUGACGUUAGCGGCGGACGGGUGAGUAACACGUGGAUAACCUACCUAUAAGACUGGGAUAACUUCGGGAAACCGGAGCUAAUACCGGAUAAUAUAUUGAACCGCAUGGUUCAAUAGUGAAAGACGGUUUUGCUGUCACUUAUAGAUGGAUCCGCGCCGCAUUAGCUAGUUGGUAAGGUAACGGCUUACCAAGGCAACGAUGCGUAGCCGACCUGAGAGGGUGAUCGGCCACACUGGAACUGAGACACGGUCCAGGCUCCUACGGGAAGCAGCAGUAGGGAAUCUUCCGCAAUGGGCGAAAGCUUGACGGAGCAACGCCGCGUGAGUGAUGAAGGUCUUCGGAUCGUAAAACUCUGUUAUUAGGGAAGAACAAAUGUGUAAGUAACUAUGCACGUCUUGACGGUACCUAAUCAGAAAGCCACGGCUAACUACGUG
This 497-nucleotide ribosomal RNA is filed under the name uncultured bacterium. RNAcentral describes it as "partial 16S ribosomal RNA". It matches the Rfam family "Bacterial small subunit ribosomal RNA", at positions 28 to 507 of the family's 1533-position model. The record is from RNAcentral.